UUUUGUAGAAUGAACCGGCGAGUUACGAUUUGAUGCAAGGUUAAGCAGUAAAUGUGGAGCCGUAGCGAAAGCGAGUCUGAAUAGGGCGUUUAGUAUUUGGUCGUAGACCCGAAACCAGGUGAUCUACCCUUGGUCAGGUUGAAGUUCAGGUAACACUGAAUGGAGGACCGAACCGACUUACGUUGAAAAGUGAGCGGAUGAACUGAGGGUAGCGGAGAAAUUCCAAUCGAACCUGGAGAUAGCUGGUUCUCUCCGAAAUAGCUUUAGGGCUAGCCUCAAGUGAUGAUUAUUGGAGGUAGAGCACUGUUUGGACGAGGGGCCCCUCUCGGGUUACCGAAUUCAGACAAACUCCGAAUGCCAAUUAAUUUAACUUGGGAGUCAGAACAUGGGUGAUAAGGUCCGUGUUCGAAAGGGAAACAGCCCAGACCACCAGCUAAGGUCCCAAAAUAUAUGUUAAGUGGAAAAGGAUGUGGCGUUGCCCAGACAACUAGGAUGUUGGCUUAGAAGCAGCCAUCAUUUAAAGAGUGCGUAAUAGCUCACUAGUCGAGUGACACUGCGCCGAAAAUGUACCGGGGCUAAACAUAUUACCGAAGCUGUGGAUUGUCCUUUGGACAAUGGUAGGAGAGCGUUCUAAGGGCGUUGAAGCAUGAUCGUAAGGACAUGUGGAGCGCUUAGAAGUGAGAAUGCCGGUGUGAGUAGCGAAAGACGGGUGAGAAUCCCGUCCACCGAUUGACUAAGGUUUCCAGAGGAAGGCUCGUCCGCUCUGGGUUAGUCGGGUCCUAAGCUGAGGCCGACAGGCGUAGGCGAUGGAUAACAGGUUGAUAUUCCUGUACCACCUAUAAUCGUUUUAAUCGAUGGGGGGACGCAGUAGGAUAGGCGAAGCGUGCGAUUGGAUUGCACGUCUAAGCAGUAAGGCUGAGUAUUAGGCAAAUCCGGUACUCGUUAAGGCUGAGCUGUGAUGGGGAGAAGACAUUGUGUCUUCGAGUCGUUGAUUUCACACUGCCGAGAAAAGCCUCUAGAUAGAAAAUAGGUGCCCGUACCGCAAACCGACACAGGUAGUCAAGAUGAGAAUUCUAAGGUGAGCGAGCGAACUCUCGUUAAGGAACUCGGCAAAAUGACCCCGUAACUUCGGGAGAAGGGGUGCUCUUUAGGGUUAACGCCCAGAAGAGCCGCAGUGAAUAGGCCCAAGCGACUGUUUAUCAAAAACACAGGUCUCUGCUAAACCGUAAGGUGAUGUAUAGGGGCUGACGCCUGCCCGGUGCUGGAAGGUUAAGAGGAGUGGUUAGCUUCUGCGAAGCUACGAAUCGAAGCCCCAGUAAACGGCGGCCGUAACUAUAACGGUCCUAAGGUAGCGAAAUUCCUUGUCGGGUAAGUUCCGACCCGCACGAAAGGCGUAACGAUUUGGGCACUGUCUCAACGAGAGACUCGGUGAAAUCAUAGUACCUGUGAAGAUGCAGGUUACCCGCGACAGGACGGAAAGACCCCGUGGAGCUUUACUGUAGCCUGAUAUUGAAAUUCGGCACAGCUUGUACAGGAUAGGUAGGAGCCUUUGAAACGUGAGCGCUAGCUUACGUGGAGGCGCUGGUGGGAUACUACCCUAGCUGUGUUGGCUUUCUAACCCGCACCACUUAUCGUGGUGGGAGACAGUGUCAGGCGGGCAGUUUGACUGGGGCGGUCGCCUCCUAAAAGGUAACGGAGGCGCUCAAAGGUUCCCUCAGAAUGGUUGGAAAUCAUUCAUAGAGUGUAAAGGCAUAAGGGAGCUUGACUGCGAGACCUACAAGUCGAGCAGGGUCGAAAGACGGACUUAGUGAUCCGGUGGUUCCGCAUGGAAGGGCCAUCGCUCAACGGAUAAAAGCUACCCCGGGGAUAACAGGCUUAUCUCCCCCAAGAGUUCACAUCGACGGGGAGGUUUGGCACCUCGAUGUCGGCUCAUCGCAUCCUGGGGCUGUAGUCGGUCCCAAGGGUUGGGCUGUUCGCCCAUUAAAGCGGUACGCGAGCUGGGUUCAGAACGUCGUGAGACAGUUCGGUCCCUAUCCGUCGUGGGCGUAGGAAAUUUGAGAGGAGCUGUCCUUAGUACGAGAGGACCGGGAUGGACAUACCUCUGGUGUACCAGUUGUCGUGCCAACGGCAUAGCUGGGUAGCUAUGUGUGGACGGGAUAAGUGCUGAAAGCAUCUAAGCAUGAAGCCCCCCUCAAGAUGAGAUUUCCCAACUUCGGUUAUAAGAUCCCUCAAAGAUGAUGAGGUUAAUAGGUUCGAGGUGGAAGCAUGGUGACAUGUGGAGCUGACGAAUACUAA
This 2295-nucleotide ribosomal RNA is filed under the name Staphylococcus aureus. RNAcentral describes it as "partial 23S ribosomal RNA". It matches the Rfam family "Bacterial large subunit ribosomal RNA", at positions 606 to 2904 of the family's 2925-position model. The record is from RNAcentral. Lineage: Bacteria; Bacillati; Bacillota; Bacilli; Caryophanales; Staphylococcaceae.